AGUGAACGCUGGCGGUAGGCCUAACACAUGCAAGUCGAACGGCAGCACAGUAAGAGCUUGCUCUUACGGGUGGCGAGUGGCGGACGGGUGAGGAAUACAUCGGAAUCUACUUUUUCGUGGGGGAUAACGUAGGGAAACUUACGCUAAUACCGCAUACGACCUACGGGUGAAAGCAGGGGAUCUUCGGACCUUGCGCGAUUGAAUGAGCCGAUGUCGGAUUAGCUAGUUGGCGGGGUAAAGGCCCACCAAGGCGACGAUCCGUAGCUGGUCUGAGAGGAUGAUCGGCCACACUGGAACUGAGACACGGUCCAGACUCCUACGGGAGGCAGCAGUGGGGAAUAUUGGACAAUGGGCGCAAGCCUGAUCCAGCCAUACCGCGUGAGUGAAGAAGGCCUUCGGGUUGUAAAGCCCUUUUGUUGGGAAAGAAAAGCAGCAGAUUAAUACCCCGCUGUUCUGACGGUACCCAAAGAAUAAGCACCGGCUAACUUCGUG
Molecule: ribosomal RNA, 492 nt
Filed under: uncultured bacterium
Lineage: Bacteria
Description: partial 16S ribosomal RNA
Rfam family: Bacterial small subunit ribosomal RNA
Source: RNAcentral